UACGAGUGCCUCAAGCGUUAUCCGGAUUUACUGGGCGUAAAGGGCGCGUAGGCGGUCAGCACAAGUCAGUUGUGAAAUCUCCGGGCUUAACUCGGAAAGGUCAACUGAUACUGUGCGACUAGAGUGCAGAAGGGGCAACUGGAAUUCUCGGUGUAGCGGUGAAAUGCGUAGAUAUCGAGAGGAACACCUGCGGCGAAGGCGGGUUGCUGGGCUGACACUGACGCUGAUGCGCGAAAGCCAGGGGAGCGAACGGG
Molecule: ribosomal RNA, 254 nt
Filed under: uncultured bacterium
Lineage: Bacteria
Description: partial 16S ribosomal RNA
Rfam family: Bacterial small subunit ribosomal RNA
Source: RNAcentral